GUUUUUAAUUAGAGGACCGGAAGCU
This 25-nucleotide non-coding RNA is filed under the name Cricetulus griseus (Chinese hamster). The record is from RNAcentral. Lineage: Eukaryota; Metazoa; Chordata; Mammalia; Rodentia; Cricetidae.